This 1089-nucleotide unclassified non-coding RNA is filed under the name Hevea brasiliensis (rubber tree). Lineage: Eukaryota; Viridiplantae; Streptophyta; Magnoliopsida; Malpighiales; Euphorbiaceae. The record is from RNAcentral.
ACCAACUGGAAAUUCGAGCUUCCAGCUUCUCAUUAAUGGUGGAUCACUGGUGAUCAUUGAUGAGCUGCCUUACGCCCCCAUUCAUUAUUGCUAUUGCCUCACAUCAUUCAGCCAACUCUCAUCAAAUUAGACAUUCAACUAUUCCAACUACUAAUGAAAAGUUUAUCUUCAAAUUUCCCAUGAAGAUUUUUCUCGACAAAUUAUCAACUUUAUAUUCAUGGGAAAGAAAAAUCUUCCCUUUAAAAUGAAAAAUUAGAUAAAUAAACAUGUUUUUCAAUUUUCUAAAUUUUCAUUCAAAAAUUGAAAAAGUAAAGAACUUGAAAAUAAAGAAGAAAAAAAAAAUACAGAAAACUUGGGUUUGAUUUGAGUUUGUUUUCAUCAGGCGUGAAGUUAUGAAUUUGUCCUAUAGCCUUAAAACGCAGCGUUGCGUUCUCUGCGUUCGCAUAACCAAUUGGCACCUUUGCAGUCUGUUUGGUUCGCAAGAAACGGCAAGAGAAAAUGGCACAAAUACAGAAACACUGGCAAUGCCUUUAGUGGCACCCACGUUAUCGCUAAUAUGCAACGGUCAGACAAGUAAUUAUCUCUCCAGCUUUGUCUCUCUUCCAAUCUCAAACUCUCCAAAGGCAAGUCUCGUUUUCUUUGAAGGAUUUAAUUGUUUUGGUCUUUUCAACCAUUUGGUUUUCUUAUUGAAGUUGUCAAUUUUUACAUAUUUUAUUAUAGGUUCAUUGUUUAAGUAUCCAGUGUGUUCGUGUUGGAGGUGCGGAGAUUCCUAACAACAGGAGAGUUGAAUACUCCCUUCUGUGCAGACAUCCAUGGAGCUGGCCGCUCAAGGGGUUCGCAAAAUCCUCUCUGAUCUUAGCAUGCACAACAAAAUCACCAAGGACUUGUUUGAUGAGGAGCUCUUUAUUCUUCGUGAUGAAGUCUCCAAGUUAAUAUGAUUGAAGGCGAUUUGGAAAUACUUCUCUUUUCUCCUCUCUCUUUCUAAAAUUCUUAUGUACCUUUUUAUUUUUUAUUAUUUCAGAGACGGUUCAACGCUCUCAAUAAUAUAAGGAGAUUGAAGGAGAUUAAGUGCUAUAGAGGGGUAAGACA